Molecule: small RNA, 815 nt
Filed under: uncultured Davidiella
Lineage: Eukaryota; Fungi; Ascomycota; Dothideomycetes; Cladosporiales; Cladosporiaceae
Description: eukaryotic LSU rRNA
Rfam family: Eukaryotic large subunit ribosomal RNA (bases 533-815)
Source: RNAcentral
CUUGGUCAUUUAGAGGAAGUAAAAGUCGUAACAAGGUCUCCGUAGGUGAACCUGCGGAGGGAUCAUUACAAGUGACCCCGGUCUAACCACCGGGAUGUUCAUAACCCUUUGUUGUCCGACUCUGUUGCCUCCGGGGCGACCCUGCCUUCGGGCGGGGGCUCCGGGUGGACACUUCAAACUCUUGCGUAACUUUGCAGUCUGAGUAAACUUAAUUAAUAAAUUAAAACUUUUAACAACGGACCUCUUGGUUCUGGCAUCGAUGAAGAACGCAGCGAAAUGCGAUAAGUAAUGUGAAUUGCAGAAUUCAGUGAAUCAUCGAAUCUUUGAACGCACAUUGCGCCCCCUGGUAUUCCGGGGGGCAUGCCUGUUCGAGCGUCAUUUCACCACUCAAGCCUCGCUUGGUAUUGGGCAACGCGGUCCGCCGCGUGCCUCAAAUCGACCGGCUGGGUCUUCUGUCCCCUAAGCGUUGUGGAAACUAUUCGCUAAAGGGUGUUCGGGAGGCUACGCCGUAAAACAACCCCAUUUCUAAGGUUGACCUCGGAUCAGGUAGGGAUACCCGCUGAACUUAAGCAUAUCAAUAAGCGGAGGAAAAGAAACCAACAGGGAUUGCUCUAGUAACGGCGAGUGAAGCAGCAAUAGCUCAAAUUUGAAAUCUGGCGUCUUCGACGUCCGAGUUGUAAUUUGUAGAGGAUGCUUCUGAGUAACCACCGACCUAAGUUCCUUGGAACAGGACGUCAUAGAGGGUGAGAAUCCCGUAUGCGGUCGGAAAGGUGCUCUAUACGUAGCUCCUUCGACGAGUCGAGUUGUUUGGGAAU